GCGGAGGAAAAGAAACUAACAAGGAUUCCCCUAGUAGCGGCGAGCGAAGCGGGAAGAGCUCAAAUUUAUAAUCUGGCACCUUCGGUGUCCGAGUUGUAAUCUCUAGAAAUGUUUUCCGCGUUGGACCGCACACAAGUCUGUUGGAAUACAGCGGCAUAGUGGUGAGACCCCCGUAUAUGGUGCGGACGCCCAGCGCUUUGUGAUACAUUUUCGAAGAGUCGAGUUGUUUGGGAAUGCAGCUCAAAUUGGGUGGUAAAUUCCAUCUAAAGCUAAAUAUUGGCGAGAGACCGAUAGCGAACAAGUACCGUGAGGGAAAGAUGAAAAGCACUUUGGAAAGAGAGUUAACAGUACGUGAAAUUGUUGGAAGGGAAACGCUUGA
RNAcentral lists this ribosomal RNA (379 nucleotides) under Rhodotorula mucilaginosa. Its description in RNAcentral is "partial large subunit ribosomal RNA". It matches the Rfam family "Eukaryotic large subunit ribosomal RNA", at positions 50 to 426 of the family's 3401-position model. The record is from RNAcentral. Lineage: Eukaryota; Fungi; Basidiomycota; Microbotryomycetes; Sporidiobolales; Sporidiobolaceae.